CCAAGAUUGUCUUGAAUGCAGCUUUUACAAAAAGGAAAAUAAAACUAGUCCUAAAUGGUCACUGGCUCUAUUAGGAAUACGACCUGGGCUUCUCACUGCAGAACAGAGUUGGAUUGAAGGCAAAUAAAGCUGAUGGAACUACAGUCCCAGUCCUCCUCAUCUAAUUGGACACACAUUACUGACCAGAUGAAGUAAGAAGAGCUCCAGCAUGGGUAGAUUUAGUACUUAAAAAAGUCCUACCUGGAUGUGGUGAUGUGUGCCUAUAAUCCUGCGUGCUGAGGCUGAGGCAAGACGACAGCAACUUUGAGGUUAGUGUGGGUAACAUAGUGAGACCCUGCCUGAAAAGAAAAGUCCUUAUGAA
RNAcentral lists this long non-coding RNA (361 nucleotides) under Chinchilla lanigera (long-tailed chinchilla). Its description in RNAcentral is "lncRNA (ENSCLAG00000022519.1)". Lineage: Eukaryota; Metazoa; Chordata; Mammalia; Rodentia; Chinchillidae. The record is from RNAcentral.